AUGAAUCUUCUGGCCUGGAACUGUCGAGAACUGGGGUUGGACUCGAUAGUGGGCGAACUCAGGGAUCUGAUACGGUCCUACAACCCAGCGGUGGUAUUCUUAUGUGAAACAAAGAAGAAAGCAAGGGCGAUGGUGAGAUUGAAAUGGAGUCUAGGGUUCAGAUGUGGCAUGGCAAUAGAUUGUCAAGGAAGGAGUGGAGGUCUAGCUUUGUGGUGGAGGGAGAGUGUGCAGGUUAAUUUGCGGCCAUGGAGCCAAUAUUUUGUUGAUGCAGCAAUAACUUGGGAAGGUAAAACCUGUAGAUUCACUGGAUUCUAUGGGGAGCCAAGAACGGAGCUACGUAAGAAAUGGUGGGACGCAAUUCGAUAUUUGAGAGCUCAAGACAAUCUCCCAUGGAUUUUUGCAGGAGACUUCAAUGAGGCUAUGUUCCAGACUGACCAACUUGGGGGAAACAAUAGGAGUUUCGCGCAAAUGGAAGACUUCAGAGAUUGCUUGGCCGACUGCGGUCUAGUGGAUCUUGGUUUUUGGGAUAUCCUUACACGUGGGAUAAUAAACGAGAUGGAGCUGAAAACGUUCAAGUCAGGCUGGACAGAGCAACAUGUAAUGAGAGUUUUGUUGAUCUCUUCCCUGAGACGACGGUUGAGCAUGUGA
This 648-nucleotide ribosomal RNA is filed under the name Triticum aestivum (bread wheat). RNAcentral describes it as "partial small subunit ribosomal RNA". The record is from RNAcentral. Lineage: Eukaryota; Viridiplantae; Streptophyta; Magnoliopsida; Poales; Poaceae.